This 60-nucleotide transfer RNA is filed under the name Nymphon australe. Its description in RNAcentral is "tRNA-Asn". The record is from RNAcentral. Lineage: Eukaryota; Metazoa; Arthropoda; Pycnogonida; Pantopoda; Nymphonidae.
UUAACGGGAGCUAAUGCAUUUCAUUGUUAUUGAAAAUUUAAAAGGUAUCUUUUCGUUAAU